GAUGAACGCUGGCGGCGUGCCUAAUACAUGCAAGUCGAGCGAACCACUUCGGUGGUGAGCGGCGAACGGGUGAGUAACACGUAGGUCAUCUGCCCAUCAGACGGGGACAACGAUUGGAAACGAUCGCUAAUACCGGAUAGGACGAAAGUUUAAAGGUGCUUCUGGCACCGCUGAUGGAUGAGCCUGCGGCGCAUUAGCUAGUUGGUAGGGUAAAGGCCUACCAAGGCGACGAUGCGUAGCCGACCUGAGAGGGUGAACGGCCACACUGGGACUGAGACACGGCCCAGACUCCUACGGGAGGCAGCAGUAGGGAAUCUUCGGCAAUGGGCGAAAGCCUGACCGAGCAACGCCGCGUGAAUGAUGAAGGCCUUCGGGUUGUAAAAUUCUGUUAUAAGGGAAGAACGACUUUAGUAGGAAACGGCUAGAGUGUGACGGUACCUUAUGAGAAAGCCACGGCUAACUACGUGCCAGCAGCCGCAGUAA
This 483-nucleotide ribosomal RNA is filed under the name uncultured bacterium. RNAcentral describes it as "partial 16S ribosomal RNA". It matches the Rfam family "Bacterial small subunit ribosomal RNA", at positions 28 to 523 of the family's 1533-position model. The record is from RNAcentral.